Molecule: unclassified non-coding RNA, 406 nt
Filed under: soil metagenome
Description: partial contains 5.8S ribosomal RNA, internal transcribed spacer 2, and large subunit ribosomal RNA
Rfam family: 5.8S ribosomal RNA (bases 1-121)
Source: RNAcentral
GAUGAAGAACGUAGCGAAAUGCGAUAAGUAAUGUGAAUUGCAGAAUUCAGUGAAUCAUCGAAUCUUUGAACGCACCUUGCGCCCUUUGGCUAUUCCGAAGGGCAUGCCUGUUUGAGUAUCAUGAACACCUCAACUCUCAUGGCUUGUCAUGAAGAGCUUGGACUAUGGGGGUCUUGCUGGCCUGUGGUCGGCUCCUCUCAAAUGAAUCAGCUUGCCGGUGUUUGGUGGCGUCACAGGUGUGAUAACUAUCUACGCUUGUGGUGUUUUCCACCAGGUAACCUUCAGCAAUGGAGGUUCGCUGGGGCUCAUAAAAGUCUCUCCUCGGUGAGGACAGCUCUUUUUGAACGUUUGAUCCCAAAUCAGGUAGGACUACCCGCUGAACUUAAGCAUAUCAAUAAGCGGAGGA